RNAcentral lists this ribosomal RNA (468 nucleotides) under uncultured bacterium. Its description in RNAcentral is "partial 16S ribosomal RNA". It matches the Rfam family "Bacterial small subunit ribosomal RNA", at positions 28 to 507 of the family's 1533-position model. The record is from RNAcentral.
GACGAACGCUGGCGGCGUGCUUAACACAUGCAAGUCGAACGGAAAGGCCCUGCUUUUGUGGGGUGCUCGAGUGGCGAACGGGUGAGUAACACGUGAGUAACCUGCCCUUGACUUUGGGAUAACUUCAGGAAACUGGGGCUAAUACCGGAUAGGAGCUCCUGCUGCAUGGUGGGGGUUGGAAAGUUUCGGCGGCUGGGGAUGGACUCGCGGCUUAUCAGCUUGUUGGUGGGGUAGUGGCUUACCAAGGCUUUGACGGGUAGCCGGCCUGAGAGGGUGACCGGCUACAUUGGGACUGAGAUACGGCCCAGACUCCUACGGGAGGCAGCAGUGGGGAAUAUUGCACAAUGGGCGGAAGCCUGAUGCAGCAACGCCGCGUGCGGGAUGACGGCCUUCGGGUUGUAAACCGCUUUCGCCUGUGACGAAGCGUGAGUGACGGUAAUGGGUAAAGAAGCACCGGCUAACUACGUG